UACGGGAGGCAGCAGGGGGAAUAUUGCACAAUGGGCGAAAGCCUGAUGCAGCUAUGCCGCGUGUAUGAAGAAGGCCUUAGGGUUGUAAAGUACUUUCAUCGGGGAGGAAAAACAAAACUAAUAAUUUUAUUUCUUGACGUUACCCGAAAAAGAAGCACCGGCUAACUCCGUGCCAGCAGCCGCGGUAAUACGGAGGGUGCUAGCGUUAAUCAGAAUUACUGGGCGUAAAGAGCACGUAGGUGGUUUUUUUAAGUCAGAUGUGAAAUCCCUGGGCUUAACCUGGAACUGCAUUUUGAAACUGAAAUACUAGAGUAUCGUAGAGGGAGGUAGAAUUCUAGGUGUAGCGGUGAAAUGCGUAGAUAUCUGGAGGAAUACCUGUGGCGAAAGCGGCCUCCUAAACGAAUACUGACACUGAGGUGCGAAAGCGUGGGGAGCAAACAGGGAUUAGAUACCCGU
RNAcentral lists this ribosomal RNA (456 nucleotides) under uncultured bacterium. RNAcentral's name for it is "bacterial SSU rRNA". It matches the Rfam family "Bacterial small subunit ribosomal RNA", at positions 340 to 789 of the family's 1533-position model. The record is from RNAcentral.